AUUGAACGCUGGCGGCAUGCCUUACACAUGCAAGUCGAACGGUAACGGGCCUUCGGGUGCCGACGAGUGGCGAACGGGUGAGUAAUACAUCGGAACGUGCCCGAUCGUGGGGGAUAACGAGGCGAAAGCUUUGCUAAUACCGCAUACGAUCUACGGAUGAAAGCAGGGGACCGCAAGGCCUUGCGAGGACGGAGCGGCCGAUGGCAGAUUAGGUAGUUGGUGGGAUAAAAGCUUACCAAGCCGACGAUCUGUAGCUGGUCUGAGAGGAUGAUCAGCCACACUGGGACUGAGACACGGCCCAGACUCCUACGGGAGGCAGCAGUGGGGAAUGUUGGACAAUGGGCGCAAGCCUGAUCCAGCCAUGCCGCGUGCAGGAUGAAGGCCUUCGGGUUGUAAACUGCUUUUGUACGGAACGAAAAGCCUUCUUUUAAUACAGGAGGGUCAUGACGGUACCGUAAGAAUAAGCACCGGCUAACUACGUG
This 482-nucleotide ribosomal RNA is filed under the name uncultured bacterium. RNAcentral's name for it is "partial 16S ribosomal RNA". It matches the Rfam family "Bacterial small subunit ribosomal RNA", at positions 30 to 507 of the family's 1533-position model. The record is from RNAcentral.